AUGGACACGAAAACAACAAUAUAUAGUGAGAGAGAGAGAGAGGGUUGUUAUAUUUCUAUUAUUCACCCAAACCCAAAAUCACAAUCAGAAUCACAAAACCUUAUUCAAAGGGAUUUCCCCCAAAUCUUCCAUAGGAGAAUUUUAGGGUUUUCUAUUCUCAACUUUCUCCAUUAUUCUUCGGGAUUUCCCUUACUUUAUUUCUCUUCCUCGUCAUUGCCGUUUUCUUCGCGCCACUCCAAACCCUUCAGAAGAUAA
Vicia faba (fava bean) is the source of this 255-nucleotide non-coding RNA. NCBI's taxonomy places the organism in Eukaryota, Viridiplantae, Streptophyta, Magnoliopsida, Fabales, Fabaceae. The record is from the annotation of a GenBank genome assembly.